GGCGGUAGGAGCAGCCCACGCACGCACUGGUCCUGAUCCCGUCGGAGAUCCAGCUGGGAAGCCCGGAGAGGUUGUGUGUUGUGCAGCCGGCCAGAGAGGGGGGGAGAGGGAGCUCCCUCGGGGUGACUGUCUUCUACGCCCGGGCCAACAUCACCCUCCUCCAGCUGGAGACGCAGGAUAUUGGAGCCCACGGCUGCGUCCAGU
Amblyraja radiata (thorny skate) is the source of this 204-nucleotide long non-coding RNA. RefSeq lists it as uncharacterized. The transcript is spliced from 3 exons. The record is from RefSeq and is a predicted model, not a curated record. NCBI's taxonomy places the organism in Eukaryota, Metazoa, Chordata, Chondrichthyes, Rajiformes, Rajidae.